UGUUUUUCUGUUGCUGGAUGGCUUUGCCCCUGACUGGACACACUGUGACCUGGCCACUCCUCCAGGAAGACUCCAGGAGGCUUCAUCUCUGGCCUCAGGGUAGGCUCCUUCAAUGGCAGUGCUGACCUUGGGAGCAGGUGGUUGAGUGCCUCAUUCACACUCUUGUUGUUGUGGCUCUGGACUGACCGCAGAGCACUCACCGUCACCAGAGAUUCUGACCCAGACAGGCAGCAAGGUCCCUAGUACCCACCCCCAUGGAUGCAGAGCAGAAUGGUGACCUGGCCUCAUCACAAAGCUUCACCUGUGGCACUGUUCCUCUGGUGCUGAGGCCUUCGAGGGACACGCACAUCUCUGCUGGGUUAAGCUGCUGGGAUCUGGAGUCCUCUGCACCACAGGAGGAAUCGGGGGCCCUCUGGAGUGUCCUCCAGAUCCAAGCUUAGAGACAGUAUGGGGCGAGUCCAUCAGCCAUGUGCCAGGACACGGAGCACUGGCAGGCCCAUGCCCACUAGCACGGUCAGCUAGCACCUCAGAAGACAUGGUAGUAUCCCUGUUUUAUAGAAGAGAAAACUGAAGGCCAGGAGCGGUGGCUCAUGCCUGUAAUUCCAGCACUUUGGGAGGCCAAGGCGGG
Molecule: long non-coding RNA, 628 nt
Organism: Cebus imitator (Panamanian white-faced capuchin)
Lineage: Eukaryota; Metazoa; Chordata; Mammalia; Primates; Cebidae
Exons: 4
Source: RefSeq, a predicted model, not a curated record